RNAcentral lists this long non-coding RNA (693 nucleotides) under Astyanax mexicanus (Mexican tetra). RNAcentral describes it as "lncRNA (ENSAMXG00005025256.1)". The record is from RNAcentral. Lineage: Eukaryota; Metazoa; Chordata; Actinopteri; Characiformes; Acestrorhamphidae.
AUGGAAAUGAAGUACUGGGAAAGGUCAUGCUUUGAUGAUAAUGGGACAGUACAAAAGUUUCAUCCAAAAGAACAGUUGGGAAAAGAGUUUCUACAGGAGCAUGAAAAGAAAGAGGGUGAUGAGGAAAAUGAGAGUGGUAGUAGGAUAGUGGAGGAAAGCCUUGGGAAGGUCUCAGAGUUGUCAGAGGAAUACUUUCAUGGCCUAGAAGAUCUACCGUGGAAUCUAACCUCACUCGAGCAGUGUGUAUAUCUCAGUCUGCCAGUGUGGCUACAGGCAGCUAUGCUUUGUAACCUGGCUGGACAGUACGGCAUCUGGACUUUCCAUAACAACUUCUUGCCUUGCCACCUGAUCUCCUACCUGUUGCUACCCUACACUUUUCCUGCCUUGGUGAUGAUCUCAUUCAGCUACAGGUUAGCCCACAUACGCCUCUGCCAGUAAUUACUUAUUGGUCAGUCUUCACAGAGUAAGACUGCUGACCUGCUAUCAGUUUGUGCAUGAACCUAUAAGGCAUGGGCCCAUAUUCACAAAGCUUGUCAGAUCAGGACUUCUGAUCUAGGGUCAGAUUCUCAGUAUUGACUGAGUGAUUGGUUCUUAUACUGUUGAAAGGUUUUGUUAAUAUGUGCCCUGAUUUAAGAUUGGUGAUCAUGUUCUGUGAAACUUAAUAAAUGUGGGCCACUAUUUAAGAGAAUAUCA